AGAGUUUGAUCCUGGCUCAGAAUGAACGCUGGCGGCAGGCCUAACACAUGCAAGUCGAACGGGUCCUUCGGGGACUAGUGGCGGACGGGUGAGUAACGCGUGGGAACGUGCCCCUUGGUACGGAAUAGCCCUGGGAAACUGGGAGUAAUACCGUAUGUGGUCGAGAGACGAAAGAUUUAUCGCCAAGGGAUCGGCCCGCGUUGGAUUAGGUAGUUGGUGGGGUAAUGGCCUACCAAGCCGACGAUCCAUAGCUGGUUUGAGAGGAUGAUCAGCCACACUGGGACUGAGACACGGCCCAGACUCCUACGGGAGGCAGCAGUGGGGAAUCUUAGACAAUGGGGAAACCCUGAUCUAGCCAUGCCGCGUGAUCGAUGAAGGCCUUAGGGUUGUAAAGAUCUUUCAGGUGAGAAGAUAAUGACUGUACCACCAGAAGAAGCCCCGGCUAACUCCGUG
RNAcentral lists this ribosomal RNA (453 nucleotides) under uncultured bacterium. RNAcentral describes it as "bacterial SSU rRNA". It matches the Rfam family "Bacterial small subunit ribosomal RNA", at positions 8 to 507 of the family's 1533-position model. The record is from RNAcentral.